This 1389-nucleotide long non-coding RNA is filed under the name Salvia miltiorrhiza (redroot sage). Its description in RNAcentral is "long non-coding RNA (SMIL_LNC007573)". Lineage: Eukaryota; Viridiplantae; Streptophyta; Magnoliopsida; Lamiales; Lamiaceae. The record is from RNAcentral.
AAACUAAUAAGGUUAGUGUCAGUUUUCAUCUCAAUUAAUAUAUCGGUAAUGAUCUAUAAAAACCAUCAUAUAUAUUUUUGUUGCAGAUUAGCCUUAAAUAGUUUUUAAUUAGCUUACCAAGCAAAGUAAACACUCCAUUAGUGAAUAGUGUAGAAAUCUCAAUAUUUUUAAGAAAUCCACCUAAAUUUUCUUCGGUUGUUUACUUAUUACACUUUUCAAAUUACAUCCAACCAAAGUAGACACUCCAUCACUAUAUGUUUCAUUUUCAUACGAGAAAUAUGUUUAAGUAUCACUCAAAUACAAUGUAUCGUAUUCUCAUAAUAUAUGUACAUUAGUUAUAAAAAUAUUUGGUAAUAUUUUUGAAGGGAAAUAUGCUUCAACUCUAGGUGGGUCUUCAAAAGGUACGUCUUCAAUUAUAAGUGGGUGCUUCAAAUUUAAGCUAUAGGAUCUGGCCUAAGCUGUCUUUUGACAGGAAAAUCUCAUGCAAGAUUAUGAUACAAAGUAUUAGAAAUAUGACAUCCCUAGUUUCCUUGCUGAAACAAUUUUGACCAUUGGAAAAUAUCUAAAUGUCAUAAGAGAAUGUGGGCACUGAACCUCAUAAAAGAAAAGGUCUGAUCCAGGAGGACAUAGGCAUUUAAUUUUCUACUUCACUGCUUUCAUUUCCACGGUAACUUCCUCAACUUGAUCUCUACUCUAGUACUGGCAGUAUGACUUAAUGGGGAAAUUGAGACAUCAAGCACUAUCUGCUUCUCGAUCAGGUAUGGUUAGUGUAUAUGAUUUUUGUUCAUGCUUCUGUUUAAUAUUAGAGCCUUACUGUCACUGCUGGAGAUACUAUCAUGUCUUAGUUCCCACUCAUCCCUCUAAAAAUAUAUAUGGACUCUGAGAUACUUCCGAAAACAAAUGGCUGCACAUUUCUAAUACUUCUGGAUGUUUUCUUACUGCUUUCUAAGUAAGAAUGUUUUUAGCAAGAUGCAGUGGUGGUUUGAUUUACAUCUAGUGCUUUAAUUUUGCAGGAUAGAAGUUUGGAUGGAUGGAUGGAUGGAUUGCUUUUGACUGAAAGUUGCUUCAGAGUAUCAUUUUUUAUUGAAGAUUGUAAAUGACUACUCAAGCUACUUAGAUAUGUUACUUGGUUCGUUGAAUAAUGGAUGGUUAAGUUAUUUGGAUAUAUUUGACAAUUUGAUUAUGGAUGGACGAAGUUAUUUGAAUGAUUAAAUAUUUAUAUAAUAUAUGUUUUUGUUGUAGUAUAUGUUGUGUUUGAGGAUAUUGUAUAUUGUAUAAUUUGUAUUUAGGAAAUUACAAAAAUAGAAAAAAAAAUGCUUGAAUUCUGCAUUUGAAAAUACACAACGGAAAUUAUCGUUAUGUAAAAUACAAAAAAAUGUUAUGUAAACG